GUUCUGGCCCAAGCUGUCUCUAGAGAAAGACAAGACUGUGCUAUUCCUUGCUGGAUUAGUGGUCGACAUCAGGAGGAGGAAGGCUGGCCACCACUGGGCAGCGCUGAAGGGCAGUGCCCACACAGCAUGGAUUCUAAGUGAUCAAAGGCAGAAGAUUUAUACCAGAUAAAGCCAUUUGGAUUGCUGGUCUAAAAUUCAA
Non-coding RNA from Heterocephalus glaber (naked mole-rat), 199 nucleotides. Lineage: Eukaryota; Metazoa; Chordata; Mammalia; Rodentia; Bathyergidae. The record is from RefSeq and is a predicted model, not a curated record.